RNAcentral lists this ribosomal RNA (253 nucleotides) under uncultured bacterium. RNAcentral's name for it is "partial 16S ribosomal RNA". It matches the Rfam family "Bacterial small subunit ribosomal RNA", at positions 524 to 776 of the family's 1533-position model. The record is from RNAcentral.
UACGUAGGUGACAAGCGUUGUCCGGAUUUACUGGGCGUAAAGAGCGCGCAGGCGGUCGUUCAAGUCGAGUGUGAAAGCCCCCGGCUCAACUGGGGAGGGUCAUUCGAUACUGAUCGACUCGAAGGCAGGAGAGGGUAGUGGAAUUCCCGGUGUAGUGGUGAAAUGCGUAGAUAUCGGGAGGAACACCAGUGGCGAAGGCGGCCAUCUGGGACAACACUGACGCUGAGGCACGAAAGCGUGGGGAGCAAACAGG